RNAcentral lists this ribosomal RNA (497 nucleotides) under uncultured bacterium. RNAcentral's name for it is "partial 16S ribosomal RNA". It matches the Rfam family "Bacterial small subunit ribosomal RNA", at positions 28 to 507 of the family's 1533-position model. The record is from RNAcentral.
GAUGAACGCUGGCGGCGUGCCUAAUACAUGCAAGUCGAGCGAACAGACGAGGAGCUUGCUCCUCUGACGUUAGCGGCGGACGGGUGAGUAACACGUGGAUAACCUACCUAUAAGACUGGGAUAACUUCGGGAAACCGGAGCUAAUACCGGAUAAUAUAUUGAACCGCAUGGUUCAAUAGUGAAAGACGGUUUUGCUGUCACUUAUAGAUGGAUCCGCGCCGCAUUAGCUAGUUGGUAAGGUAACGGCUUACCAAGGCGACGAUGCGUAGCCGACCUGAGAGGGUGAUCGGCCACACUGGAACUGAGACACGGUCCAGACUCCUACGGGAGGCAGCAGUAGGGAAUCUUCCGCAAAGGGCGAAAGCCUGACGGAGCAACGCCGCGUGAGUGAUGAAGGUCUUCGGAUCGUAAAACUCUGUUAUUAGGGAAGAACAAAUGUGUAAGUAGCUAUGCACGUCUUGACGGUACCUAAUCAGAAAGCCACGGCUAACUACGUG